CCUACGGGAGGCAGCAGUGAGGAAUAUUGGUCAAUGGACGAGAGUCUGAACCAGCCAAGUAGCGUGAAGGAUGACUGCCCUAUGGGUUGUAAACUUCUUUUAUAUGGGAAUAAAACGUUCCACGUGUGGGAUUUUGUAUGUACCAUAUGAAUAAGGAUCGGCUAACUCCGUGCCAGCAGCCGCGGUAAUACGGAGGAUCCGAGCGUUAUCCGGAUUUAUUGGGUUUAAAGGGAGCGUAGGUGGAUUGUUAAGUCAUUUGUGAAAGUUUGCGGCUCAACCGUAAAAUUGCAGUUGAAACUGGCAGUCUUGAGUACAGUAGAGGUGGGCGGAAUUCGUGGUGUAGCGGUGAAAUGCUUAGAUAUCACGAAGAACUCCGAUUGCGAAGGCAGUUCACUGGACUGCAACUGACACUGAGGCUCGAAAGUGUGGGUAUCAAACAGGAUUAGAUACCCCUGUAGUC
This 460-nucleotide ribosomal RNA is filed under the name uncultured bacterium. RNAcentral describes it as "partial 16S ribosomal RNA". It matches the Rfam family "Bacterial small subunit ribosomal RNA", at positions 338 to 795 of the family's 1533-position model. The record is from RNAcentral.